CUGACAAUCCUGGAAACUUCAUACUUCUGUUUAGCUACAGAACAAGUACAGGGCAUGGAGCAACAAGCUGCCCUACUGUUCCACCAAUGAGCAUCAACCCUGCCCUGCAGCGUCCAUCUCUAGAGGUGAGAAGGCUCAUUCAAACUCUAGGACCAUUCAUUUCUCAGAUCUC
Molecule: unclassified non-coding RNA, 172 nt
Organism: Chrysemys picta bellii (western painted turtle)
Lineage: Eukaryota; Metazoa; Chordata; Testudines; Emydidae
Source: Ensembl